This 486-nucleotide ribosomal RNA is filed under the name uncultured bacterium. Its description in RNAcentral is "partial 16S ribosomal RNA". It matches the Rfam family "Bacterial small subunit ribosomal RNA", at positions 28 to 507 of the family's 1533-position model. The record is from RNAcentral.
GAUGAACGCUAGCGGCAGGCUUAACACAUGCAAGUCGAGGGGCAGCGCGGGAUAGCAAUAUCCUGGCGGCGACCGGCGGAAGGGUGCGUAACGCGUGAGCGACAUGCCCGUUGCCCGGGGACAACCGGUGGAAACGCCGACUAAUCCCCGAUGGGAUAUUGUGCCGCAUGGCACGAUAUUGAAAGUUACGGCGGCGACGGAUUGGCUCGCGUCCGAUUAGCUUGUUGGCGGGGUAACGGCCCACCAAGGCUGCGAUCGGUAGGGGUUCUGAGAGGAAGGCCCCCCACAAUGGGACUGAGACACGGACCAUACUCCUACGGGAGGCAGCAGUGAGGAAUAUUGGUCAAUGGGCGGAAGCCUGAACCAGCCAUGCCGCGUGCGGGAAGGAGGCCCUAUGGGCUGUGAACCGCUUUUGCCUGGGGGCAAUAAGGGCGUCGCGCACGUCCGAUGAGAGUACCAGGCGAAUAAGCAUCGGCUAACUCCGUG